Transfer RNA from Spirochaeta africana DSM 8902, 74 nucleotides. It matches the Rfam family "tRNA". From Rfam's summary of the family: Transfer RNA (tRNA) molecules are approximately 80 nucleotides in length. Their secondary structure includes four short double-helical elements and three loops (D, anti-codon, and T loops). The record is from Rfam. Lineage: Bacteria; Pseudomonadati; Spirochaetota; Spirochaetia; Spirochaetales; Spirochaetaceae.
GGGGGUGUAGCUCAGUUGGCUAGAGUGCGUGAAUGGCAUUCACGAGGUCACGGGUUCGAAUCCCGUCACCUCCA